CAGUCGCCGCGGUAAUACGUAGGUGGCAAGCGUUGUCCGGAAUUAUUGGGCGUAAAGGGAGUGUAGGCGGUCUUUUAAGUCUGAUGUGAAAGCCCCCGGCUCAACCGGGGAGGGUCAUUGGAAACUGGGAAACUUGAGUGCAGAAGAGGAGAGUGGAAUUCCACGUGUAGCGGUGAAAUGCGUAGAGAUGUGGAGGAACACCAGUGGCGAAGGCGACUCUCUGGUCUGUAACUGACGCUGAGGAGCGAAAGCGUGGGGAGCGAACAGGAUUAGAUACCCGCGUAGUCCCUGUCUCUUAUAC
Molecule: ribosomal RNA, 301 nt
Filed under: uncultured bacterium
Lineage: Bacteria
Description: partial 16S ribosomal RNA
Rfam family: Bacterial small subunit ribosomal RNA
Source: RNAcentral